GACGAACGCUGGCGGCGUGCUUAACACAUGCAAGUCGAACGGAAAGGCCCUGCUUGCAGGGUACUCGAGUGGCGAACGGGUGAGUAACACGUGGGUGAUCUGCCCUGCACUUCGGGAUAAGCCUGGGAAACUGGGUCUAAUACCGGAUAGGAGCCAUUUUUAGUGUGAUGGUUGGAAAGUUUUUUCGGUGUAGGAUGAGCUCGCAGCCUAUCAGCUUGUUGGUGGGGUAAUGGCCUACCAAGGCGGCGACGGGUAGCCGGCCUGAGAGGGUGGACGGCCACAUUGGGACUGAGAUACGGCCCAGACUCCUACGGGAGGCAGCAGUGGGGAAUAUUGCACAAUGGGCGCAAGCCUGAUGCAGCGACGCCGCGUGGGGGAUGACGGCCUUCGGGUUGUAAACUCCUUUCGCUAGGGACGAAGCUUUUGUGACGGUACCUAGAUAAGAAGCACCGGCUAACUACGUG
RNAcentral lists this ribosomal RNA (464 nucleotides) under uncultured bacterium. Its description in RNAcentral is "partial 16S ribosomal RNA". It matches the Rfam family "Bacterial small subunit ribosomal RNA", at positions 28 to 507 of the family's 1533-position model. The record is from RNAcentral.